GUGGAUGUGGCUUAGUGAUAGAGCAUUUGCCUGGCAUGUAUGAGGUCCUGAGUUCAAUCCUCAGCAUUACCC
RNAcentral lists this transfer RNA (72 nucleotides) under Ictidomys tridecemlineatus (thirteen-lined ground squirrel). Its description in RNAcentral is "Spermophilus tridecemlineatus (thirteen-lined ground squirrel) tRNA". It matches the Rfam family "tRNA". Rfam says of the family: Transfer RNA (tRNA) molecules are approximately 80 nucleotides in length. Their secondary structure includes four short double-helical elements and three loops (D, anti-codon, and T loops). Further hydrogen bonds mediate the characteristic L-shaped molecular structure. tRNAs have two regions of fundamental functional importance: the anti-codon, which is responsible for specific mRNA codon recognition, and the 3' end, to which the tRNAs corresponding amino acid is attached (by aminoacyl-tRNA synthetases). tRNAs cope with the degeneracy of the genetic code in two manners: having more than one tRNA (with a specific anti-codon) for a particular amino acid; and 'wobble' base-pairing, i.e. permitting non-standard base-pairing at the 3rd anti-codon position. The record is from Rfam by way of RNAcentral. Lineage: Eukaryota; Metazoa; Chordata; Mammalia; Rodentia; Sciuridae.